UACGUAGGGGGCAAGCGUUGUCCGGAAUGAUUGGGCGUAAAGGGCGCGUAGGCGGCCCGGUAAGUCUGGAGUGAAAGUCCUGCUUUUAAGGUGGGAAUUGCUUUGGAUACUGCUGGGCUUGAGUGCAGGAGAGGUAAGUGGAAUUCCCGGUGUAGCGGUGAAAUGCGUAGAGAUCGGGAGGAACACCAGUGGCGAAGGCGACUUACUGGACUGUAACUGACGCUGAGGCGCGAAAGUGUGGGGAGCAAAC
This 250-nucleotide ribosomal RNA is filed under the name uncultured bacterium. RNAcentral's name for it is "partial 16S ribosomal RNA". It matches the Rfam family "Bacterial small subunit ribosomal RNA", at positions 524 to 773 of the family's 1533-position model. RNAcentral also lists the same sequence under 1 other name. The record is from RNAcentral.